RNAcentral lists this ribosomal RNA (253 nucleotides) under uncultured bacterium. RNAcentral describes it as "partial 16S ribosomal RNA". It matches the Rfam family "Bacterial small subunit ribosomal RNA", at positions 524 to 776 of the family's 1533-position model. The record is from RNAcentral.
UACGAAGGGUGCAAGCGUUGCUCGGAAUUAUUGGGCGUAAAGCGCACGUAGGCGGCUUAGCAAGUCGGAAGUGAAAGCCCUCGGCUCAACCAAGGAAGUGCUUUCGAAACUGCUGAGCUUGAGUACUUAAGAGGAUCGCGGAAUUCCCGGUGUAGAGGUGAAAUUCGUAGAUAUCGGGAGGAACACCAGUGGCGAAGGCGGCGAUCUGGGAAGAUACUGACGCUGAGGUGCGAAAGCGUGGGGAGCAAACAGG